AUUGAACGCUGGCGGCAUGCCUUACACAUGCAAGUCGAACGGCAGCAUGAUCUAGCUUGCUAGAUUGAUGGCGAGUGGCGAACGGGUGAGUAAUACAUCGGAACGUGCCCUGUAGUGGGGGAUAACUAGUCGAAAGAUUAGCUAAUACCGCAUACGACCUGAGGGUGAAAGUGGGGGACCGCAAGGCCUCAUGCUAUAGGAGCGGCCGAUGUCUGAUUAGCUAGUUGGUGAGGUAAAGGCUCACCAAGGCGACGAUCAGUAGCUGGUCUGAGAGGACGAUCAGCCACACUGGGACUGAGACACGGCCCAGACUCCUACGGGAGGCAGCAGUGGGGAAUUUUGGACAAUGGGUGAAAGCCUGAUCCAGCAAUGCCGCGUGUGUGAAGAAGGCCUUCGGGUUGUAAAGCACUUUUGCCCGGAAAGAAAUGGCUCUGGUUAAUUCCUGGGGUCGAUGACGGUACCGGAAGAAUAAGGACCGGCUAACUACGUG
Molecule: ribosomal RNA, 490 nt
Filed under: uncultured bacterium
Lineage: Bacteria
Description: partial 16S ribosomal RNA
Rfam family: Bacterial small subunit ribosomal RNA
Source: RNAcentral